ACCUACAAUAUAUAACAACAUUUCCAUAUCAAAAGUACUUGAUCCUAACAUAAGAAAUCCUAACAGAGAAUCAUAGCAGGAUCCCUACAAGCCAAAAGUACUUGAUGAAAUUAUACAUAAGAAAACACAGCAGUCCAUUCCAACAUAUCAGCAGUCCAUUCCAACAUCUCAGCAAAAUGCAGUCCAUAUCAACAUCUUAGCAGUCCAUUCCAAAAUCUCAUCCUACAAUGAAAUAAAAUGAUGAUCACAAUUGUUAGACAGGAGUCCAUAACAAGAAGUUGCACACAAGAAGUUGCAGUCUACUGUUAUCAUGAUCACAAUUGCAGUAUACUUCAACUAUAAUUGCACUUACAUUAACAUUGUAAAAAACAAUGAUCUUACUUACUUUUAUCAUAAUUGCAGUCUAUCAUAGUCUAAUAGACAAGCCCAACAUGUUAAUGAAAGUUAUAGUGAUAUUCCUGAAAUGCAAAACAAAAUGUUAAUUGAAAAAUCUACAAUGAAAAUAUCCUUGAUAAUAUGAUUUUUACAAUCACCUAGAGAUGAAUAACUAUCAUUAUCUACACUUGGAUUGGGAGUUGCACUGUCAUGACAAGGUGAAUACC
This 602-nucleotide long non-coding RNA is filed under the name Panax ginseng (ginseng). RNAcentral's name for it is "long non-coding RNA (PGIN_LNC009856)". Lineage: Eukaryota; Viridiplantae; Streptophyta; Magnoliopsida; Apiales; Araliaceae. The record is from RNAcentral.